CUUGGCGGCUAUAGCGCUUUGGUCCCACCCCUUCCCAUCCCGAACAGGGUCGUGAAACGAAGUUGCGCCGAUGAUAGUGUGGAUUACCCAUGUGAAAGUAGGUCACCGCCAGGC
Molecule: ribosomal RNA, 114 nt
Filed under: Nitrosospira sp.
Lineage: Bacteria; Pseudomonadati; Pseudomonadota; Betaproteobacteria; Nitrosomonadales; Nitrosomonadaceae
Also listed under: 1 other name
Source: RNAcentral